Quercus robur (English oak) is the source of this 368-nucleotide long non-coding RNA. RefSeq lists it as uncharacterized. Lineage: Eukaryota; Viridiplantae; Streptophyta; Magnoliopsida; Fagales; Fagaceae. The transcript has 3 exons. The record is from RefSeq and is a predicted model, not a curated record.
AGGAGGCUUUCAGCUAAUAAUACUGCAAAAUGUAUCACCAUCUUUCCAUCUCACCAAUAUUCACAUGAACCUACAGGUUUGUUGCAGUUGGAAAUGAACAAUUCUUGGAAACAUACAAUGCCUUUCCGCUGGAUCUAGUACUCUUUUCCAGACAACUUAAGAUACCUUGUUCCAGCUGAUUUGACUGUUGGGCAGUUUGUUUAUGCAUGUUGUCCAGAAAAGGAUUAAGCUCGGUUCUGAGAAGGCUAUUUUUGCAUAAAUCUAACAAAUCACUUGGGGCAAUAUCUUUUGUUUAUAAUAAGGAUAGGGAAUUGUGGUUCUGAAAACUAUUAGUUCAGUUCUUCAGCUAAAUGGAUUUAUCUUCUAUA